GAUGAACGCUGGCGGCGUGCCUAAUACAUGCAAGUCGAGCGAACAGACGAGGAGCUUGCUCCUCUGACGUUAGCGGCGGACGGGUGAGUAACACGUGGAUAACCUACCUAUAAGACUGGGAUAACUUCGGGAAACCGGAGCUAAUACCGGAUAAUAUAUUGAACCGCAUGGUUCAAUAGUGAAAGACGGUUUUGCUGUCACAUAUAGAUGGAUCCGCGCCGCAUUAGCUAGUUGGUAAGGUAACGGCUUACCAAGGCGACGAUGCGUAGCCGACCUGAGAGGGUGAUCGGCCACACUGGAACUGAGACACGGUCCAGACUCCUACGGGAGGCAGCAGUAGGGAAUCUUCCGCAAUGGGCGAAAGCCUGACGGAGCAACGCCGCGUGAGUGAUGAAGGUCUUCGGAUCGUAAAACUCUGUUAUUAGGGAAGAACAAAUGUGUAAGUAACUAUGCAUGUCUUGACGGUACCUAAUCAGAAAGCCACGGCUAACUACGUG
Molecule: ribosomal RNA, 497 nt
Filed under: uncultured bacterium
Lineage: Bacteria
Description: partial 16S ribosomal RNA
Rfam family: Bacterial small subunit ribosomal RNA
Source: RNAcentral